AUGCAUAUAAAAUAUAUGCACUAUCAAUUCCUUUUCGGGUCGUAAUCAGCACUGAAAAACCCCAACUACGCCGCCAUCACCAUGUGACCCAUACCACCCAUGUAUUUAUUAUUAUUAUUAUUAUUUUCCUUCUUUCCCAUUCUCCAGUAACCUUUGAACAUUCCAUUAGAUUUAGAAACAUAAAUCACAAUCCCAAUCCUAAAUCCGGUCUAUUACUUUAAAAGUCCUACUGUCUUGAAAUCAAGUUACUUUAUUGAAUGCCCAGUGAGUUCCAAUGUUGAAGACUUGAUAAGUACCAGACAUUCCAGCAGUACCUGAGUUUGAACCAUGGAGUGUCAUGGAAGUUUCACAGUAUAUAUACAUUUGCAUGACACUGAUGCCAAAAUAAAAUCAAGCUCGGCCCACUUGCCACACCACCGAAUCAACCACAACAACCCUAAAAAAAA
Molecule: long non-coding RNA, 446 nt
Filed under: Olea europaea (common olive)
Lineage: Eukaryota; Viridiplantae; Streptophyta; Magnoliopsida; Lamiales; Oleaceae
Description: long non-coding RNA (OEUR_LNC010152)
Source: RNAcentral